ACCUUGUUCCUCCCAUUUGUAUUUACCUUAAACCAAACCUGACCAGUCCUUUGUCUCAUUCCCUUACAACCUUGCUGUCUACCAGGAAUUUGGUCAAUGAAUCCCAAUGUGAUCUGUUGUCUGUGACUUCCUGUGAUGUACAGUCUGGGUAACAUUUUUCAUUUGGAAAGAAUGCUUUCACCUGAGGUAACCAUGUCAAAUAAAUCCUUCUUUUAAAGUGAGUUUAUAUUUUAAAAUGACUAACAAGUGCAUGGUUCCUAGCAGGCGCUAUGUCA
RNAcentral lists this long non-coding RNA (275 nucleotides) under Pan troglodytes (chimpanzee). Its description in RNAcentral is "long non-coding RNA NONPTRT011965". The record is from RNAcentral. Lineage: Eukaryota; Metazoa; Chordata; Mammalia; Primates; Hominidae.